GAUGAACGCUAGCGGCAGGCUUAACACAUGCAAGUCGAGGGGUAGAAGCAGCUUGCUGCUUUGAGACCGGCGCACGGGUGCGUAACGCGUAUGCAAUCUACCUUUUACAGAGGGAUAGCCCAGAGAAAUUUGGAUUAAUACCUCAUAGUAUGUGAGAAUCGCAUGGUUUUCACAUUAAAGUUCCAACGGUAAAAGAUGAGCAUGCGUCCCAUUAGCUAGAUGGUAAGGUAACGGCUUACCAUGGCGACGAUGGGUAGGGGUCCUGAGAGGGAGAUCCCCCACACUGGUACUGAGACACGGACCAGACUCCUACGGGAGGCAGCAGUGAGGAAUAUUGGACAAUGGGCGCAAGCCUGAUCCAGCCAUGCCGCGUGCAGGAUGACGGUCCUAUGGAUUGUAAACUGCUUUUGUACAGGAAGAAACACUCCCUCGUGAGGGAGCUUGACGGUACUGUAGGAAUAAGGAUC
This 467-nucleotide ribosomal RNA is filed under the name uncultured bacterium. Its description in RNAcentral is "bacterial SSU rRNA". It matches the Rfam family "Bacterial small subunit ribosomal RNA", at positions 28 to 494 of the family's 1533-position model. The record is from RNAcentral.